This 1634-nucleotide ribosomal RNA is filed under the name oral metagenome. RNAcentral describes it as "bacterial LSU rRNA". It matches the Rfam family "Bacterial large subunit ribosomal RNA", at positions 697 to 2295 of the family's 2925-position model. The record is from RNAcentral.
UAGUUCCAGGUAUUAGACGCGAAGCGGGAUGAUCUAGCCAUGGGCAGGCUGAAGCUUGGGUAACACCAAGUGGAGGGCCGAACCAAUGUAGGUUGAAAACUGCUUGGAUGACCUGUGGUUAGGGGUGAAAGGCCAAUCAAAUUCCGUUAUAGCUCGUUCUCCCCGAAAUAGCUUUAGGGCUAGCGUUGGUUGUUUCUUAUCGGAGGUAGAGAACUGGAAGGACUAGGGGUCUCACCAGAUUACUGAAUCCUAUCAAACUGCGAAUGCCGAUAAGUAGAAGACCAGCAGUCAGACUGCGGGCGACAAGGUCCGUAGUCGAGAGGGAAAGAACCCAGAUCACCAGCUAAGGUCCCCAAAUAUGUGCUAAGUGGAAAAGGAUGUGGGAGCGCUCAGACAACCAGGAUGUUGGCUUAGAAGCAGCCACCAUUUAAAGAAAGCGUAAUAGCUCACUGGUCAAGCGAGCCUGUGCCUACAAUGUAACGGGGCUCAAGCACAUUACCGAAGCUGUGAGAACAAGUGGUUGCCACUUGUUCGGUAGGGGAGCGUUCCGUAGGCCGAAGAAGGUAGUUCGACGAGGAUUACUGGAGGUAUCGGAAGAGACUCUGCCAGCAUUAGUAGCGAAAAGACGGGUGAGAACCCCGUCCGCCGAAAACCCAAGGUUUCCAGGGCAAGGCCAAUCCGCCCUGGGUGAGUCGGUUCCUAAGGCAAGGCCGAAAGGCGUAGUCGAUGGAAAUCCGGUUAAUAUUCCGGAACCAGCAAGUUGUUGUUUGUACGAAGCGGGGACGCAGAAAGGUAGCGUUACGCCCUGAUGGAAGUGGGCGGUUAAGCGUGUAGGGAAAGCGUGUAGAGAAGUUCGCAUGCUUGAGAUCCUGAGACGUGAUGACGAGGAGUCUCAAUGAAGAGAGUCUGAAGUACGUGAUCCUAGGCUGCCGAGAAAAGCCGCUAAGGAGACAACUGGCUGACCGUACCGUAAACGGACACACGUGGGUGAGGAGAGAAUCCUAAGGCGUUUGAGCGAACUCAGGCUAAGGAACUCGGCAAAAUAGCUCCGUAACUUCGGGAGAAGGAGUGCCCUUGUGUACGUGAUCACUCGAGCAGUGUGAGCGGAAGAGGGUUGCAGUGAAAGGUUCCAGGCGACUGUUUACCAAAAACACAGGACUCUGCGAAGUCGAACACGACGUAUAGGGUCUGACGCCUGCCCGGUGCCGGAAGGUCACGAGGAGGGGUUAUCCGUAAGGAGAAGCUCUGAAUUUAAGCCCCGGUAAACGGCGGCCGUAACUAUAACGGUCCUAAGGUAGCGAAAUUCCUUGUCGGGUAAGUUCCGACCUGCACGAAUGGCGUAACGAUCUGGAAACUGUCUCGGCCUGAGACUCAGCGAAGUUGUAGUGUCGGUGAAGAUGCCGACUACCCGCAGCAAGACGGAAAGACCCCGUGAACCUUUACUAUAGCUAGAUAUUGAUCUUGUGUGUCAGAUGUGCAGGAUAGGUGGGAGGCAGAGACCGGUGUUCGUCAGGAUGCCGUGAGCCACUGGUGAGAUACCACUCUUGUGUCAUGUGAGAUCUAACCGCGUUCCGUGAUCCGGAACCGGGACCGUGUCUGGUGGGUAGUUUGACUGGGGCGGUCGCCUCCCAAAG